GUGGAGCCACAGAAAUGGAAUACGAGGGUGAAGGAGAGGGGGAAGGGAAGCGAAGCCAAAUCGAGCGGCGACUGGAAUCGUUCUCACGGGAACAAAAGGAUGGAGGGACAAGGAGAGGCGAAAAGUAACAGAAGGGAGCCCAUCAAGAGGCGGCACGGCUCCACUGACUUCUUCGUGCUGCUGGAUUGCCUCUUCCUCCUCAUCUUCUUCUGCUUCCUCUGCUACUUCCUCCUCCAGAUCUGGCCGGGAUCAAAGCCCUAACCCCAACGAAAGGACCUGUAUUUUGUUGAUCCUGAAACCAAUCUAUUCUAUUCUAUUCAUUCUAACGUCGGUAAUCUCAUUUUAUCCCCGAUGUUUUUGUUUCAAGUAUUAAAUUCGUACCACGGCAAUCAUCUUACGAUCUGUUCCAGAAAAAAAUUGCUUUUAAUUUCCCUUUUAUUGUUUGUUGGUUUGAAGCCGUUGUUGCUUUGAAAUCUGGCUGCCAGUUUAUACUAUAUGAUUUUUAUUGCAGAAGAUUGCUUGGAUGCAUUGUUCAUAUUACUGCUAAUUUCUGUGGGACUGUGGCUGUUUGGUUCACCAACUGUUUAUGUGAAAUAAUUCUUCAUCCAUCUUUGCCAUGAUAUGAAAAUGAGUGAAAGGAAUUAUAUGAAGAUUUAUGUUUUUCGUAUUUUCUCAUCUUCAUGUUAAACUUGACUUAAUCCCUCAUGCAAAUCUUCUUGAAUCAAGAGGAAGGUUACGUGACUUUUGAUCUAGUGUGAGGGAGAUAAAAGCAUCCGUAUCAUAUGACAUCAUUGGGAACUUAAGCAUGUAGUUCUUGAUUCGGUAUAAUCUGCUGUGUCAUUUUUGAAACUUAGGCAUCACAAUUGGAUCUGAUUGUAAGAUCUUAUCUUGACUAUUGUUUUCUACAAGGAAAAGAAAGGACAAUGCUAGGGUACAUAGAGUUGAAAUUUCAUCCUGUCAUUCCUGAUGAAUGUGGUAUUAAGAUCAAGUUAUUUCUCCUUCAAAAGUGAGGACCAAAGGAUGAGGGCACUUUACUGCAAUUGAUGUUACCAGGAGCUUUUAACAACUGCACCUAAUAUAAUGAUUUUAGAUUCGAAUGAUUGGAUUAUUUUCUAGAUGAGUGGUUCGCAUCAGAUGAUUCACCAUCUGAUUCACAGGAGGAAAAAAGAAUUGUUACUGCCCUCUUUCUCUAUCAUGAUCGAUAUGUUUCAGCAAUAUGGUUUUAUUAGGAAGAUAAGUUUGAAUGUGAAUAUUUGAGCUUUUCACCAAGUGAAAAGUUGGAGCUAUAAUUUUGAGACAAUUGUAUAGAACACUAGUAAGUGAACAUGCUGCUGGUCGCAUUUUGGUGUUUUAUAAAGAGUUUUAAGGCUUCGAAUAGAUGGGACUUAGACAUAUCAAAUAUUAUAAGCUGUAGUUAUUGAUUUGGUUCUGGUUGCAAGAUGGUUACUAUUACAACCACACAUCUAAUUCUUGCCUGUAGCAUCAAAUUCAUCCAAGACAUGAAUAUGGAGGUUUUGUUUCUUAAGAGUCAAGUUGCAAAUAACUGAUGAUGUUGCUUCAGUUUUCAACUUGUGAGACUUUCAUUCAAGUUCAUGUCUUUUCCAGCAUGUUCUGAUAGCUUUUGUUGGCAUCAUCAACAUACCUUGGCCAAUCCAGCUGAAUGUACUGGUAUUUAUACCAUCAAUAUAAAUAAUUGUCAUGGUAUAAAUUGUCAUGGAUGUAUUGGUAAUAAAUUUGAGGUAAAAAAUUUGAAUACCUUGGCCACUGAGGGUGGGUGCUCCUACUUCAAGAGGAGCACAUGCACCAACAGGCCCCAACUACACCCUCUCAGUUGGGCAAGGCUGUGAGUCUUGGACAUGCCCACAUACCCAUGCCUAGGUUUUCCCCCUCUCAGGCAUUCAUGUCUUCUCCUGCUUGGUAAAUCUUGAGGCCCUCCUAAAUAGCAGUCAAAUCCUGCUUAAUGGCAAGUUUGCAGCAGUUGAACUGAGAGUCCUGGGGUCAUGAAUUAGACCUUUGGAAUGGGAAGAGUAGUCCAAGGAGAAACUCAGAUGAUUGUUCUCUUUUGAGUGAUAAGCUUCACUGUAUGGAAAAAGUUCCCUCAGAACAUGAACUUUCUCUUCUGAAGUUAAGAAAGGGACCUGAGUCGUUGACCAAAUCAACCAAAGCUAAGGAGCAGAGUCUUCGGUGCGGGGAAGAUGCACUGCAGUAGGUACACUGGGCCACCAUCAUGUUCUAAGUUUCAACACGUCUGGCAGUAAGUUGAAUGCUAGAGAACUUUACAGCUGCUAAAGAUGAAAUGGAGUGCUUGAAUCCAUUUGUAGGACUGCUUACGCAGAGGAAUAUGAAUGAAGUUGCAUCAAAGCAUAUGCUGUAAAAGCAGCAUGAUCUGAUCAUGUAACUUAUGACCAGAGAAUUAAGAUCUUAAUACCAAAUUCUAGUGCUUUGUUUUCUGGCUCAACAGAGAAAUGCAAUAAAAGAAACGAUGACAAAGAAUAAUACUACUCUGUCUGUCCAUAAAUUUUUGGCUCAUCCAUCUGCAAUUGCUAAAAAAGAAUUAACUUUUUUCUUUGUUUUGUUGGUUGUUAAGUGUAGAGGAUCAAGAAUUCAGAUGCUGGAGUAACAAUCUGCAGUCUGCAGGUCUUGUCAUUUAAAUCAUGGAUUGCCGGAACUGCGCUACUCCACAUUCGUCUUCAAAAAUAAGACAUUAUAUGACUCGAAAGUUCAUUAGGUUUAGGGUUUACCGUCUCCGUCGUCGCUCGACCAUCCGCAGAGACCGAGGCGCCGGCGGUCGAAGCACCGGCGGUGAAGAGUUGAAGGCAGCUGUUCCUGCCGUCAUCGCAGCAGAGGAAGUCUUAAUCUGGGCCGUCCCGCUCGUCGGCGAAGGAAACCAUGACCAUGCUCAAGAACGCUCUGCUCUGGAGGAAGGAGUUCGGCGUCGGGAGCCUACUUCUCGGAGUCCCCGAGCUCAGCGACGUCGUCGCUCUUGGCCACCGCCGCCUCCUGCGCGGCGACCUUCUCAUCUCCGGCCUCCGCCGCGGACUCGGCGGCCAGCGGCUCUCCCAAAGCUGGCUUCUUUGUUGUUUUCCGCGCCUAAGGGACGGGAUCGGUCGGCGGAAGCCGUUCGUCGAUUCUUUCUCCGUCGCCGCCGGCUCCGUUUCGGCGGGGUCCCCUUCUGGUGUGUCGGGUUUGGUGUCCAAGGCCAUGGUCUUGGGUUGGGUGCAGGUGAGAGAGAGAGAGGCCCAGCCCAUCCUCUCGUGUUCCCACGUUAAGCACGAGAGUCGCACGUGUCCUUCCCCGACCCCUAAUUUCUUCAAACGGUUCUCUCGACCUCCACUCCCCGCCGGAGUCGCCGCCGCUCCUCCGCCGGUGUGCCACCACGCUGGAGGACAUAGCGAACCCGAUGAGCGCCGGAGCUCCGCUGGGUUCCGCCUUCCCGCGUCGGCAUCAAACCUAAGAGAAAGCCCGCACUGGUCUUGGUCCUCUCUACCUUUCUCACUUUCUAAUUUCUUCUCCCAUGAUAUUCUUCUCUUUUUCUAGUUCGUGUUCUUUGAUUUGGUAUAGACGAUAUAUAUGAAGACACUCGGGAGUUCCCACAACAAGGUAAGAUUUUUCAUGUGCCUUAGGUUUUUGAUCUUUUUCUCAUUAAAACAGAUGCAAGAGAUGCCAAAGAAGUAGAAUUUGGGAGCUAAUUGUCAAAAUCCCGUAUUUAUGGAACUUAGGUACUUGUUUGAUUUUAUUAUUUUUAUCAGUGAAAUGAUUAGGAAAUUCCGUGAUAAAGGUAAAUAGAAAACAGGUCUUGAAUUCCAUGUUCUUAUGAGAGCGUCGCUUGGUUUCCUUUGUGCUCAUUACAUUCAUCUUGGAUAAAUUGAACUUCUUGCGAAGCUAUUUUGACUGCCAUAUCAAGUCUAGCAUCUUAUUUAAUUUUUUCAUCAUAAACUUGAUUUGUGAUCUACUUGUUAGUAUAACGAAUUGAUAUAUAUGCUUUUAAUUUUCCUUAUGUUCUGUCCUGAUGACCAUCAAGUGAUUAUUUGUUCAACCCGUUCCUAUAGCUUGAGCUAACAAGCUUCAUUUAACAUUAAAAAAAUCCAUGUUUGUUGACACAAGAAUCCCUGUUAUCAUGAUUCAAGUCAUGGUAUCAUAUCAAGAUCUUCUUCAGGGGCAAUAGCACAGGAACCGGAUGUCUAGAUGAUGGUGACCUUCACCAACUUGUCCACUUUCUUUUUAUCACUUGGCUGUCUAAUCCAUCAAGAGAAUUGACUUUACAUGGGUUAAUCGAAUUAGCCUACUUGAUUUAGCUCAAUGCUGUCUGAUUCAAACUUAAGUAUAAACCCAAUUAUCCUUUAGUACAAGCCGCCAUAUCCCAUUUAAUAAAAUGGGUACGGUAGCGUCUAAAUGUGACCCCUUAUAGUAUUUAGUGGACAUUUUCCCAGGGUUUGUUUGAAUACCUUGGUAAGUUAUGUGUGGCCACCCUUGUGCAAGCCUUGAGACCAACUCCUAACUCCUAAUUACAUUGAACCAAGUCAGAUGAACUUGGUAACUGAUACCAGUACAGCUAUAGUGUUAGUUCCAAAACUGAUCACAAGGGCAACCUAUUGAAUCAGCAGGAUAUGCUUCCUGGAGAAAUUAGUUUCCAUCUAUGCAAACAUGUAUCUUGACUUAGACCAAACAGUAAGACUUAUUGUCCAUUUAGAUUACUGUAGUAGGUAUGUCACUUGUACUUUUUGUUUCAUGCUGUACACAACAUGUCUAGACGGCAGAUACACAAUUGAGAGUUGCUCCUUGAAACAUGAUCAGGUAUCCAUCAAAUCUCAGAAAAGUUGAUGAAUUUUAAGCUUGAAAUUGUCUUCUAUGAUGCAUUGUCUGUUCAAUUCAGCCCUUAAAAAUUAGUAGUAAAUUAGUUGCCUUGGAUUGAAUUCUGCUAAGUGGAAUUGUUCUGAGCUUUUUUUCACCAGUGUAAUUUUGCUGUCCUGACAAAAGGUUUUCUAAGGAGUACAGUUUUCUUCCCGCUGGAGCAGAAAUCCUUGUUGCAGCUUCUGUCGUUGUAUUUAUUAUAUGGCUUUACGCUUUGUUACAUUGAUCUUUCCAAAUGCCACUUGAUUCUCCUUUGAUCUAGAAAAUAUCAAUCACUUGAGAAAAAAAGAGGGUUAUAUUGGCAGCUUCCAACUUGUUGUGGAUGUGGCAAGAAAAUAUGAUGUGUUGCCAUUUGCAUAUAUUGGAAUGGUUUUAUUA
Long non-coding RNA from Musa acuminata AAA Group (dessert banana), 5229 nucleotides. RefSeq lists it as uncharacterized. Lineage: Eukaryota; Viridiplantae; Streptophyta; Magnoliopsida; Zingiberales; Musaceae. The record is from RefSeq and is a predicted model, not a curated record. The transcript has 2 exons.